This 27-nucleotide non-coding RNA is filed under the name Mus musculus (house mouse). Lineage: Eukaryota; Metazoa; Chordata; Mammalia; Rodentia; Muridae. The record is from RNAcentral.
UAGGGACCGGGUGUCUGAUUUGUGAGA